UGGGGAAUAUUGCACAAUGGGGGAAACCCUGAUGCGGCGACGCCGCGUGAACGAAGAAGGUAUUCGUAUCGUAAAGUUCUGUCCUAUGGGAAGAUAAUGACAGUACCAUAGAAGAAAGCUCCGGCUAAAUACGUGCCAGCAGCCGCGGUAAUACGUAUGGAGCGAGCGUUGUCCGGAAUUAUUGGGCGUAAAGGGUACGCAGGCGGUUUAAUAAGUCGAAUGUUAAAGAUCGGGGCUCAACCCCGCAAAGCAUUGGAAACUGAUAAACUUGAGUAGUGGAGAGGAAAGUGGAAUUCCUAGUGUAGUGGUGAAAUACGUAGAUAUUAGGAGGAAUACCAGUAGCGAAGGCGACUUUCUGGACACAAACUGACGCUGAGGUACGAAAGCGUGGGGAGCAAACAGG
This 403-nucleotide ribosomal RNA is filed under the name bacterium. Its description in RNAcentral is "partial 16S ribosomal RNA". It matches the Rfam family "Bacterial small subunit ribosomal RNA", at positions 355 to 776 of the family's 1533-position model. The record is from RNAcentral.